UACGUAGGGACCGAGCGUUGUCCGGAAUCAUUGGGCGUAAAGAGCUCGUAGGCGGUUUGUCGCGUCGGCCGUGAAAUCUCCACGCUUAACGUGGAGCGUGCGGUCGAUACGGGCAGACUUGAGUUCGGUAGGGGAGACUGGAAUUCCUGGUGUAGCGGUGAAAUGCGCAGAUAUCAGGAGGAACACCGGUGGCGAAGGCGGGUCUCUGGGCCGAUACUGACGCUGAGGAGCGAAAGCGUGGGGAGCGAACAGG
RNAcentral lists this ribosomal RNA (253 nucleotides) under uncultured bacterium. RNAcentral's name for it is "partial 16S ribosomal RNA". It matches the Rfam family "Bacterial small subunit ribosomal RNA", at positions 524 to 776 of the family's 1533-position model. The record is from RNAcentral.